This 242-nucleotide ribosomal RNA is filed under the name uncultured bacterium. RNAcentral describes it as "partial 16S ribosomal RNA". It matches the Rfam family "Bacterial small subunit ribosomal RNA", at positions 15 to 236 of the family's 1533-position model. The record is from RNAcentral.
GAUCCUGGCUCAGGAUGAACGCUGGCGGCGUGCUUAACACAUGCAAGUCGAGCGAAGCACUUAGGAAAGAUUCUUCGGAUGAUUUCCUAUUUGACUGAGCGGCGGACGGGUGAGUAACGCGUGGGUAACCUGCCUCAUACAGGGGGGAUAACAGUUUAGAAAAUGACUGCUAAUACCGCAUAAGACCACAGCACCGCAUGGUGCAGGGGUAAAAACUCCGGUGGUAUGAGAUGGACCCGCGU